GAGGUGGGGUGUGUGUAAUGCGCCUUUCAUAACUGCACCGCCAGCUGUCGUUAUUAAUGUUGUUUUCUUCAUGUUUAAUCAACAGAACACAGCUAACCGUAGUACUAAUUAAUUCAUUCUGUACCAAGGCGUUCGUUGUAUGAUAAUUAUGAAAGGCAGCAUCAUCUUGACUCUAUCCACCUCCUCCUCCUCCUCCUCCCAUUUUCUUUCUAACUCUCCCAUUUCUUAACGUGUGUGUGUGUGUGUGUUUUCCUUAACACUCUCGCAUCCUUUCUAGCUCAUAUUCCCGACCUUUACUCUUUAGUCUCUGUGUGUGUGUGUGUGUGUGUGUGUGUGUGUGUGUGCGUCAGUAUAGCCGUGUAGAGAUUCCCCUGUCGUGAGGAAACUGCCAAGAGACCAGUGCCCGCCUGUGGGGUGACUGCCAGAUUGACAAACAUCGCGCCCCUUGCUGCCUGUCACUCCACGGAGCUAGAGAAACAAUCUCAACUUUCCAAGCCACCUGUAGCAUCAAGAUCAAGAUCAAGAUCAAGACACGAGAGACUAAGAUGGUGGCAGUGUAACGGCCCCGGUACUUCUGUAUUUUUGUGCCUUUUUUCGCUGUUUAUCCCCAAAGACAUCAGUGCAGAAGGAAGGACAGGGUGCAGGGAAGCCAAAUCUCGCCUCCUUUAGCUGUGAUCGCUGUGCUGGUGAGGCUGUGUUGCUGUGAUGCCUAGGAACAAGAAUGUUGAGCCUCCCAUGCCAACCCCUGCCAGCUUGCAAGAGCCGGCAGGAGGAAGCCCCAAGAAGAAGAAGAAGAGGAGGAGGAGGAGUGAGAGUGAAGAGGAAGAGGAGAACAUGACAACCUUCUCAAUUAUUUCUCAAGAUUUUCCCUUCUUCGCUUCCCCCAGCAAGAAGAAGAAGAAGAAGAAGAAGGAGGAGGAAGAAGAGGAGGAGGAAGAAAAUUUUAGACUAAAUGGGGUGAUGGGGAGAGGAGAAGAGGUCACAGAAGGAAGGAAGAGGAAGAAAAAUAAAGAAAAAACAACACAAGAACAACAACAACAACAACAACAACAACAAGUAGCAAAAAAGAAGAAGAAGAAGAAGGAAGAGGAGGAAGAGGAGGAGGAGUGAGGAGAAGAAGAGGAGUAAGAAAGGAAAGAAGAUAAGGGAAGAAGAAGAGGAGGAGGAGGAGGAGGAGGAGGAGGAGGAGGAGGAGGAGAAAGAGAAGGAGAGUGUAAAGAAGAAGAAGAAGAAGCAGGCACCCACCAUCACCACCACCACCACCAUCUCCCCAAGCAAGAAGAUAAAGAAAGAAGAGGAAGAGGAAGAGGAGGAGGAGGAGAAGAGGAAGAGGAGGAAGACAUAGCUUUGGAUGAAGAAAUUGCUUGGCCGGAGGAAGCCACACUUGAGCUCCUGAAUAAGGUUACCAGCCAGCUGCCCCCUCCCACCCGCGACACCCGCUCCUGUAGGGUGAGCCUCAAGGGGGUGGACUGGGGCCUAGCUGCAUUGCCUGGAAGGACCCCUGAUGCUUGCAAGGCCCACUUUCUGGAUCAAUACAGAAAGAUUUGCCAUUUUAAGAGCCUGACAACAGUGAUAGACGACAUGGCCAAGUUGGUCAUGUCAGGGUUCAGUGACCGCAGGAACCGGCCAGCCUUGCCUAUUCACAGAUUCCUAAAAGAUUUCUUCACCCCUGAAUUGAAAGCGCAAGCCAAGAAGAAGGGGGAGAAUAUGUUGAAAUUAGGACAUCAGGCGUGGAAGCAGUUUGUCUCCUGAAGUGAAGAAGAGUUAUACGCAAGCUUAUAAGGAUGAAUGUGUGAAGUUUAAGACAAGUAGCAGCAAAGAUUCUUCAGCCUCGAAGUUACCCAAGAUGCCUUACCAGAUAUGCUGGGACGCCGAGAAGGACUCCGGCAUUACCAACAAGAGCAGCAGGACCCACUAUUCAUCCUUGCCCCCUGAACGACAGCUCCCUUACAUACAGCAAGCCCUGAAGGACCUCUUACAAUACGAGAAAGAGAAAGAGAAACAAAUUGAAGCAAACCCUGAUUUUCAAGUUCCGCCUCACAAUAGCAUGCCGAAAACCGACUUGAAAACAUACCUGGAUGCAUUAAGGUGCCCUCCUCUGCCCCCCGACCCGCGCUGCGUUAGUUUUCUACAAGGAUUUACAGGAGAAAGGCAAGCUGGAUAAGGUCCCUGGGCUGAAGAGAAUGGGAGAAGUCAUGAGGCUUUACAAGGAGCUGAGUCCGAGAGAGAAGGACAAAUACAAGGAAAGGCUGGAAAAGGCACGUGACAAGUUCGAGGAGGAGCUGAGUAAGUGGUCGAGUGGUCAAGACGAGGUCACACUGUUCGCACUUCAAAGAUACAAGGAUGUGAUGCGUUUCUCAAAGCCUAUGCCCAAGAAGACUCGGCACGUGAAGACAGAGGAUAUCUUCCCCGCACAAGGCCCUCCCGUACACCACAUGUCCCCCGCUUCCUUGCCCGAGCCCUCCCGACCCCCUGCCAGCGCGUUACCGACUGUUCGCCACCAAGUUCCGGCUCUCUGUUGGCUCCCUCUCAGGCCAGGAACUCCAGCAGGUGUUGAGGAACGGGUGGAAAGCGCUUACUGACGAGGUGAAGACAGCCUACACCGCUCGCUGUCGGGAAUUGCAUCGGAAAUAUGAGGGAGAGCUCAAGGCCUACGUUCGGGAGAUGGAUCCCAAAACACGUAGGCUGUAUUUAGGCUUCAACCGGCUGCCGCUGUUUCGUUUCUUCGGAAAUCGCGAUAUUUUCGACGAGGUUUCCGAACAGCGAGGAGUAUCCAGUCUUCCACAAGGUCCCUCUUAAGCCCAGCCAGCGUGCGAGCUCCAUGAAGAAGGAGGAGGAGGAGGAGGAUGAGGAUGAUGAUGAUGAGGAGGAAGAGGGAGGAGGAGAUGGCAGCCUCAUCAGGUCGCAAGAAGAGAUUGUCACCAAUUCUUUUUACUGACCUUGAUUCAACUCCCUCUGACUCAACUAAGCAGAAAAAAUCGGGUCUCCAGUACUUAGCUGAAGAGGACAGUGGAAAGGAGGAGGAGGAGGAGAGCGAGAGUGAAGAGGAGGAAGACGACGAGAGCGAAGAGGAGGAGGAAGACGAGAGUGAAGAGGAGGAGGCAGUUGCUACAGCCUUGCAGUCUUCUCGGCUUCCAGCUAAACAAACAAAGAAAAAGGCCGCCACUACCGCCACCACCACCCACCCCGCCCCUCACAGAAAAAGGCCGUCACCACCACCACCACCACAGCUGGCAAGAAGAAGGCCCGCGCCACCACCAGUUCAAGAUUCCGAAGACGAGAGUAACGAUAGUGAUGAAGACGUCACCCCCAGCCUGGCGCUCUGCCCCCCCCCCACGCCCGUCACCCCUGCACAGCCAAAGAAAAAGACACCCACCAAGAAGGCUCCCACACCACCAACUUCUGAUAGUGACGAUGAGAGCAAUGAUAGUGAUGUUAAUGACGUCACCCCCAGCCUGGCGUUCUGGUCCUCCCACCCCUGUCACACCCACACAGCUUAAGAAAAAGGCCGCUGCCACCACCACCACCACCCCAUUACAGAAGAAGGCCACCACCACCACCCCCUUACAGAAAAAGACCACCACCAGCACCACCACCGCAUCUGGCAAGAAGAAGAAGGCCGCUCCACCACCAACUCAAGAUUCCGAAGACGAGAGCGACGAUAGUGAUGAAGACGUCGCCCCAGCCUGGCGCUCUGGCCCCCCCACGCCCGUCACCCCCUGCACAGCCAAAGAAGGUCAAACCAAAACAACAAAAACGACACGAAAGCAGCUCGUCUGGCUUCUCGGACUCUGAUUCUUCAAAUUAACUCACCACCUUCACCACCACCACCACCACCACCACCUUCGCCUCAUCACCAGUCACUGCCAUUAGAGAUAGAUAGAGCUUGUGAAAUAUAAACCAGUUGUCAGUUUUCUUGUACAUAACCCUUGGUAGAUUCUGGUGUGGAAGGGUUAAUGAAAGGGUUAAUGAAAGGGUUACAGUUUUGUUUCCCAGCCAGUACAAAAGUGUGGGGGUUAGUUUCUGGUUAGGAGUGAGGUCAAGGUCAGUGAGGUCAAGGUCAGUGUUUGUGCUCAAUUAGUAAAACAAUUCAGGGCGCAGUAGUUAAACCGUGAGAUGAAUUUGAUUAUUGGGAACUUGUAGUGUCGGUUAAUUUAACAAUUCUCUACACAGUAUUGAACAACAACAACAAUAACAGCAAUAACAGCAGCAGCAGCAGUAUUAGCCACAGCUUCACACAUGCAAGUAGAUGGUGGAUGCCUUGGCUAGGUGUGGCGGUGGUGGUGGUUGUGUGUGUGUGUGUGUGUGUGUGUGUGUGUGUGUGUGUGUGUGUGUUUGUAUGUGGUGUUGUGUGACGUACUGAGGUGUAUUGGUGUUGUGUGGGGUUGUUCAGUGGGGUGCGAUAUCUAAACAGGCUGAGGUGAAUUUUAACCAGUCUUUUAAAAGUGUGUUUCUUGUUACUAUAUAAAAUGUUGUUAAUCUCACUGGAACCAUAAAAAGCAGCCUUGAAAACCCACAUCACUUCAACUACAGCCUUUUAAAAGUGUGUUUCUUAUGUUGACAGUAUAAUAAUCUUGUUAAUCUGUCACUAGAACCAUAAAAACAGCCUUGAAAACCCACAUCACUUCAACUACAGCCUUUUAAAAAGUAUUUGUUAUGUUGAUAGUAUAAGAAAUGUUGUUAAUCUGUCUGUUUGUGUACCAGGCUGCCCCCCCACACAACUUAUACAAGAUAAUGACAACUAUACCAGGUUUUGUUGGUAUUGCAGAACAUUGAGGGCUGAAUAUAUACCACAGAAAAUUGAA
This is a long non-coding RNA of Scylla paramamosain (green mud crab), 4805 nucleotides long. RefSeq lists it as uncharacterized. NCBI's taxonomy places the organism in Eukaryota, Metazoa, Arthropoda, Malacostraca, Decapoda, Portunidae. The transcript is spliced from 17 exons. The record is from RefSeq and is a predicted model, not a curated record.